This 329-nucleotide unclassified non-coding RNA is filed under the name soil metagenome. RNAcentral's name for it is "partial contains 5.8S ribosomal RNA, internal transcribed spacer 2, and large subunit ribosomal RNA". The stretch from base 1 to 120 matches the Rfam family "5.8S ribosomal RNA", at positions 35 to 154 of the family's 154-position model. The record is from RNAcentral.
GAUGAAGAACGUAGCGAAAUGCGAUACGUAAUGUGAAUUGCAGAAUUCAGUGAAUCAUCGAGUCUUUGAACGCACAUUGCGCCCCCUGGCAUUCCGGGGGGCAUGCCUGUUCGAGCGUCAUUACAACCCUCAAGCUCUGCUUGGUAUUGGGCUCUGCUGGGACCGGCAGGCCUUAAAAUCAGUGGCGGCGCCACUCGGCUUCAAGCGUAGUAAUUCUUCUCGCUUCGGAGACCCGGGUGCGUGCUAGCCAGCAACCCCCAACUUUCUUAGGUUGACCUCGGAUCAGGUAGGGAUACCCGCUGAACUUAAGCAUAUCAAUAAGCGGAGGA